This 1429-nucleotide long non-coding RNA is filed under the name Meleagris gallopavo (turkey). RNAcentral describes it as "lncRNA (ENSMGAG00000018863.1)". Lineage: Eukaryota; Metazoa; Chordata; Aves; Galliformes; Phasianidae. The record is from RNAcentral.
UAUCAGGUUGCUGUUCCAUCAGAAUAAGGCUGGGUGACACAUCAGCCACUGCCAGCAGCUCUGCUGCUGCAUUUUGCACCAUGAGCCAGUGGAGCAAAGAGACCUGAGCAUGGAGCAGUGCAAGUGUUGCUUACCUGUAUAAUCAGAGAAUCACAGAAUGUCUGGGUUGGAAGAGACCUUCGAGUUCACUGAGCCCCACACCCUGCUGUGGGCUGGGUGCCUCCCCAGCUCAGGCUGCCCACGGCCCAUCCAUCCAUGGCCAUGGACACAUCCAGGGGUGGGCACCCACAGCUCUAGGCAGCAGUGUCAGCACCCUGUUGCCCUUUGAAUAAAGGAAUUCCUCCUCACAUCUCACCUAAAUCUCCCCUCUUCUAGUUUAAAACCACUCCUCUCUGCCCAUAUCUGUACUGACGUAGUGAAGCCUCACACGGUUACAACCUGCUUAAGCACUUUGACUCCUUUUGCCCUCUCCCAUGCUGGCUGCUGUGAUUUCAGAGGCUGCAAAUGCCGUGCUGGUGUGAACUCCUGCUCUCACAGCCUGGGAAGCAGUGUGGCAAUGUCUUUGGCAGCGUGAACAUGAAGAGAAAGCACAGAGCAGACCAGAGGGCAGGCAGAAUGAUGCUAUGUUUAGGACUGAGUGCCAGGCUGAGGAGUUGGAAUGCUUCACUCCAUCACAGGCAUUGAUAGCUGGGACCUCAGUCAUUGAGUUGAUUAAGCUUAAAAUUAAACAUAUCUUAAAAGCUCAAUCGACUGAGACCUAGCUUCUGAACGUCUUCAGCAUGAACCUUCCAGAGGACAUAAAAGGGCUCGAUAAGAUAAGAAAUGAGCUAUCGAGUGCUGCUCUUGAGACAUCAUCCUCAACUCCUUGAAGUCAACAGAAAGCUACUGAGAGUCUUCAGUGGGCUUUGGAUCAGACGUUUGGCGUAUUAACAGUAAGAGUAUUUGUGUUCACCCGGUGAGUCUCUAUGGCAACACCUCACAGGAGCUGUGUGCUCUAAUAGAGUUUUCUUCUCCUUGAUUUUGGUGGCUUGUGCUUCCUGUCUGCCUUAGCCCACCAUAUCUCAAUCUGGGGACCUUGGCAUUGCCAGCAUUUCAAAACCACGGCCAAACGCUGGGCACUGUGCCUGGCUCCUUAUUUUCAUUAGCACCCAGCACACCUUAAUUAGCAGCGUGGCACUCGUGUGGAGCCAAGGUAUAGAAGAACGUGUGUGCAAAUUUAUUUCUAAACACAAAGAUGUAAGAGUGAACGCUAUUGCAGUGAUUUCCAUCCUCUCCUUUUCCUUUUAGCAAGUGGGCGAUGGUUGUGUGUGUGUGUUUUGGAGUUUCAUUUGUCUUCAAGUAAUAUCACAAAGUAAAUGAAAGGGAAAACGGGACUCAAAUACGUAUAUUUUGUAGUUAUGCAGACUAAAAAUGAGAAUUUCGGAGAAAA